UGGCGGCAGGCCUAACACAUGCAAGUCGAGCGGAUGACGGGAGCUUGCUCCUUGAUUCAGCGGCGGACGGGUGAGUAAUGCCUAGGAAUCUGCCUGGUAGUGGGGGACAACGUUUCGAAAGGAACGCUAAUACCGCAUACGUCCUACGGGAGAAAGCAGGGGACCUUCGGGCCUUGCGCUAUCAGAUGAGCCUAGGUCGGAUUAGCUAGUUGGUGGGGUAAUGGCUCACCAAGGCGACGAUCCGUAACUGGUCUGAGAGGAUGAUCAGUCACACUGGAACUGAGACACGGUCCAGACUCCUACGGGAGGCAGCAGUGGGGAAUAUUGGACAAUGGGCGAAAGCCUGAUCCAGCCAUGCCGCGUGUGUGAAGAAGGUCUUCGGAUUGUAAAGCACUUUAAGUUGGGAGGAAGGUCAGUAAGUUAAUACCUUGCUGUUUUGACGUUACCGACAGAAUAAGCACCGGCUAACUCUGUGCCAGCAGCCGCGGUAAUACAGAGGGUGCAAGCGUUAAUCGGAAUUACUGGGCGUAAAGCGCGCGUAGGCGGUUUGUUAAGUCAGAUGUGAAAUCCCCGCGCUUAACGUGGGAACUGCAUUUGAAACUGGCAAGCUAGAGUCUUGUAGAGGGGGGUAGAAUUCCAGGUGUAGCGGUGAAAUGCGUAGAGAUCUGGAGGAAUACCGGUGGCGAAGGCGGCCCCCUGGACAAAGACUGACGCUCAGGUGCGAAAGCGUGGGGAGCAAACAGGAUUAGAUACCCUGGUAGUCCACGCUGUAAACGAUGUCGACUUGGAGGUUGUGCCCUUGAGCGUGGCUUUCCGGAGCUAACGCGUUAAGUCGACCGCCUGGGGAGUCCGGCCGCAAGGGUAAAACUCAAAUGAAUUGACGGGGGCCCGCACAAACGGUGGAGCAUGUGGUUUAAUUCGAUGCAACGCGAAGAACCUUACUACUCCUUGACAUCCAGAGAAUUCGCUAGAGAUAGCUUAGUGCCUUCGGGAACUCUGAGACAGGUGCUGCAUGGCUGUCGUCAGCUCGUGUUGUGAAAUGUUGGGUUAAGUCCCGCAACGAGCGCAACCCUUAUCCUUUGUUGCCAGCACGUAAUGGUGGGAACUCAAAGGAGACUGCCGGUGAUAAACCGGAGGAAGGUGGGGAUGACGUCAAGUCAUCAUGGCCCUUACGAGUAGGGCUACACACGUGCUACAAUGGCGUAUACAAAGAGAAGC
RNAcentral lists this ribosomal RNA (1218 nucleotides) under Pseudomonas putida. RNAcentral's name for it is "partial 16S ribosomal RNA". It matches the Rfam family "Bacterial small subunit ribosomal RNA", at positions 37 to 1250 of the family's 1533-position model. The record is from RNAcentral. Lineage: Bacteria; Pseudomonadati; Pseudomonadota; Gammaproteobacteria; Pseudomonadales; Pseudomonadaceae.